RNAcentral lists this ribosomal RNA (759 nucleotides) under uncultured archaeon. RNAcentral's name for it is "bacterial SSU rRNA". It matches the Rfam family "Archaeal small subunit ribosomal RNA", at positions 102 to 859 of the family's 1478-position model. The record is from RNAcentral.
GGAUAACUUACCCUUUAGGACUGGGAUAACUCUGGGAAACUGGGGAUAAUACUGGAUAUUAGGCUAUGCCUGGAAUGGUUUGCCUUUGAAAUGUUUUUUUCGCCUAAGGAUAGGUCUGCGGCUGAUUAGGUCGUUGGUGGGGUAAUGGCCCACCAAGCCGAUGAUCGGUACGGGUUGUGAGAGCAAGGGCCCGGAGAUGGAACCUGAGACAAGGUUCCAGACCCUACGGGGUGCAGCAGGCGCGAAACCUCCGCAAUGUACGAAAGUGCGACGGGGGGAUCCCAAGUGUUAUGCUUUUUUGUAUGACUUUUCAUUAGUGUAAAAAGUUUUUAGAAUAAGAGCUGGGCAAGACCGGUGCCAGCCGCCGCGGUAACACCGGCAGCUCGAGUGGUAGCUGUUUUUAUUGGGCCUAAAGCGUUCGUAGCCGGUUUGAUAAGUCUUUGGUGAAAGCUUGUAGCUUAACUAUAAGAAUUGCUGGAGAUACUAUUAGACUUGAAGUCGGGAGAGGUUAGAGGUACUACCGGGGUAGGGGUGAAAUCCUAUAAUCCUGGGAGGACCACCUGUGGCGAAGGCGUCUAACUGGAACGAUCUUGACGGUGAGUAACGAAAGCCAGGGGCGCGAACCGGAUUAGAUACCCGGGUAGUCCUGGCCGUAAACGAUGUGGACUUGGUGUUGGAAUGGCUUUGAGUUGUUCCGGUGCCGAAGGGAAGCUGUUAAGUCCACCGCCUGGGAAGUACGGUCGCAAGACUGAAACUUAA